Molecule: long non-coding RNA, 1915 nt
Organism: Oncorhynchus keta (chum salmon)
Lineage: Eukaryota; Metazoa; Chordata; Actinopteri; Salmoniformes; Salmonidae
Exons: 4
Source: RefSeq, a predicted model, not a curated record
GGCCGCUCUCCUUCCUCCUCUGGCAUCUCAGACCGUCCCGUGACAGUAAUGGCAGCGGUUAGCUUAAUGCUUACUAUCAAAGCCAAAGACUAAUUACCCAUGUGUGUUCUGGCUCUGGCCGGGGGUGUUGCAUAGCAUUUGGCUGGAACAAGGACUCUGGGUAGCCAGGCAAGCUGUCCUCUGGCUGGGAUUGAGUUACAGCACCUUUUACAAGAGAUCUCUUUACAAAAACCCAACUGGCUGCACAGGUGAUUCAUCAUAUUUAAUAUGUGUAGCCUUGUGGUUAGAGCGUUGGGCCAGUGACCGAAAGGUAGCUAUUUUCAAUCCCAGAGUCAGCAAGGUGAACAUUCUGCCAAUGUGCCCUUGAGCAAGGCACUUAUCCCUAAUUUCUCCAGGGUCACCAUUGAUAAUGGCAGACCCUGGCUGUCACCCCGCUCUCCAAGGGUGUCUUAGGGAGAGUUGGGAUAUGCAAAAAACACAUUUCCAAUUCAUACAUGUGUAUUAAUACACGUGUACAUGUGUGAAACAGGACAAGUAUUUGCACCACCAAAUGAUGUAUUAUUAUAGAAUGAAUCGGAUGGGGCAACAAUGUGGUUUUGACUUGGGGCAAUGUGAAUUUAGCAUCUUAGUUCUGAUGAGUAGGGCUGUGACGGUGACUACUUAGUUUGUUCACUUGUUUACAUGGAUGAAUGUCAGGGUGGCAGGUAGCCUAGUGGUUAGAGCGUUGGGCCAAUAACUGAAAGGUAGCCUAGUGGUUAGAGCGUUGGGCCAAUAACUGAAAGGUAGCCUAGUGGUUAGAGCGUUGGGCCAAUAACUGAAAGGUAGCCUAGUGGUUAGAGCGUUGGGCCAAUAACUGAAAGGUAGCCUAGUGGUUAGAGCGUUGGGCCAAUAACUGAAAGGUAGCCUAGUGGUUAGAGCGUUGGGCCAAUAACUGAAAGGUAGCCUAGUGGUUAGAGCGUUGGGCCAAUAACUGAAAGGUAGCCUAGUGGUUAGAGCGUUGGGCCAAUAACUGAAAGGUAGCCUAGUGGUUAGAGCGUUGGGCCAAUAACUGAAAGGUAGCCUAGUGGUUAGAGCGUUGGGCCAAUAACUGAAAGGUAGCCUAGUGGUUAGAGCGUUGGGCCAAUAACUGAAAGGUAGCCUAGUGGUUAGAGCGUUGGGCCAAUAACUGAAAGGUAGCCUAGUGGUUAGAGCGUUGGGCCAAUAACUGAAAGGUAGCCUAGUGGUUAGAGCGUUGGGCCAAUAACUGAAAGGUAGCCUAGUGGUUAGAGCGUUGGGCCAAUAACUGAAAGGUAGCCUAGUGGUUAGAGCGUUGGGCCAAUAACUGAAAGGUAGCCUAGUGGUUAGAGCGUUGGGCCAAUAACUGAAAGGUAGCCUAGUGGUUAGAGCGUUGGGCCAAUAACUGAAAGGUAGCCUAGUGGUUAGAGCGUUGGGCCAAUAACUGAAAGGUAGCCUAGUGGUUAGAGCGUUGGGCCAAUAACUGAAAGGUAGCCUAGUGGUUAGAGCGUUGGGCCAAUAACUGAAAGGUAGCCUAGUGGUUAGAGCGUUGGGCCAAUAACUGAAAGGUUGCUUGAUUGAAUCCCUGAGCUGACAAGGUAAAAAUCUGUUGUUCUGCCCUUGAACAAGGCAGUUACCAGGCCGUCAUUGUAAAUAAGAAUUUGUUCUUAACUGACUUGCCUAGUUAAAUAAAGGUCAAAUAAAAAAUAUGCUUCUGAAUAAAACCUGUUUGAAACAAGCCAUUACACUUUGUUAUUAUCAUUUUAUUAUGAUUAUUCAGGUUAUUACUUCUAAAUAUUUAAUCAACAAAUUAAGAAAUGCCAGUUUGGAGAGGAUGUGUCGCAUUUUCAUAUUGACAACAUUAACCGAGUCAAAAUAAUGUCCUUGUCUGUCGGCUUAUUAUGUAUGUCAUGUAUUCUUU